GGCACUAUAGCCAAGUGGUUACGGCGACAGAUUCGAAUCAAGUAGUAUCUGUUACUCUUUGAGUGCGCAGGUUCAAAUCCUGCUGGUGUCG
This is a non-coding RNA of Tephrocybe sp. NHM501043, 91 nucleotides long. The record is from the annotation of a GenBank genome assembly. NCBI's taxonomy places the organism in Eukaryota, Fungi, Basidiomycota, Agaricomycetes, Agaricales, Lyophyllaceae.